This 380-nucleotide ribosomal RNA is filed under the name uncultured eukaryote. Its description in RNAcentral is "partial 18S ribosomal RNA". It matches the Rfam family "Eukaryotic small subunit ribosomal RNA", at positions 592 to 976 of the family's 1831-position model. The record is from RNAcentral.
CAAUAGCGUAUAUUAAAGUUGUUGCGGUUAAAAAGCUCGUAGUUGGAGUUCUGCCAGGUGCCGCCUGUCCGCCCCAGUGGUGAGUACGUGGCGCGCAUUUGGCCCUUUCAAGGGGAGCGUAUCUGCACUUUAUUGUGUGGUGCGGGAUCCUUGACUUUUACUUUGAGGAAAUAGGAGUGUUCCAAGCAGGCUCUCGUCGUGCACAGCUCAGCAUGGAAUAAUAGCAUUGGACCUCGAUUCUAAGCUGUUGGUUGCCAGAAGCGAGGUAAUGAUGAAGAGGGAUAGUUGGGGGCAUUCGUAUUUAACUGCCAGAGGUGAAAUUCUUGGAUUUGUUAAAGACGGACUACUGCGAAAGCAUCUGCCAUGGAUGUUUUCAUUGA